Molecule: ribosomal RNA, 446 nt
Filed under: uncultured bacterium
Lineage: Bacteria
Description: partial 16S ribosomal RNA
Rfam family: Bacterial small subunit ribosomal RNA
Source: RNAcentral
GUGAGGAAUAUUGCGCAAUGGACGAAAGUCUGACGCAGCCAUGCCGCGUGAAGGAUUGACGGCCCUAUGGGUUGUAAACUUCUUUUGUAUAGGAAUAAACCCUCGUUCGUGAACGAGGCUGAAGGUACUAUAAGAAUAAGCACCGGCUAACUCCGUACCAGCAGCCGCGGUAAUACGGAGGGUGCAAGCGUUAUCCGGAUUUAUUGGGUUUAAAGGGUCCGUAGGCGGAUCGUUAAGUCAGUGGUGAAAUCCUACCGCUCAACGGUAGAACUGCCAUUGAUACUGGCGAUCUUGAGUAUGUAUGAAGUUGGCGGAAUGUGUGGUGUAGCGGUGAAAUGCUUAGAUAUCACACAGAACACCGAUUGCGAAGGCAGCUGACUAAUACACAACUGACGCUGAGGGACGAAAGUGUGGGGAUCAAACAGGAUUAGAUACCCGAGUAGUCC